CCAAUAGCGUAUAUUAAAGUUGUUGCAGUUAAAAAGCUCGUAGUUGAAUUUCGGGAUCGAAUUGUUGGUCGUGCUUCGGUACGCACUGGCAUUAUUGGUUCCUACCUUCUGAAGAACCGCGAUGUCAUUAAUUUGGUGUCGUGGGGAAUCAGGACUGUUACUUUGAAAAAAUUAGAGUGUUUAAAGCAGGCUUACGCUUGAAUACAUUAGCAUGGAAUAAUGAAAUAGGACGUUUGAUUCUAUUUUGUUGGUUUCUAGGAUCGACGUAAUGAUUAAUAGGGAUAGUUGGGGGCAUUAGUAUUCAAUUGUCAGAGGUGAAAUUCUCGGAUUUAUUGAAGACUAACUACUGCGAAAGCAUUUGCCAAGGAUGUUUUCAUUAAUCAAGAACGAAAGUUAGGGGAUCGAAGACGAUCAGAUACCGUCGUAGUCUUAACCAUAAACUAUGCCGACUAGGGAUCGGAUGAUGUUAAUUUUUUAAUGACUCAUUCGGCGCCUUACG
Molecule: unclassified non-coding RNA, 499 nt
Filed under: uncultured Glomus
Lineage: Eukaryota; Fungi; Glomeromycota; Glomeromycetes; Glomerales; Glomeraceae
Description: SSU rRNA
Rfam family: Eukaryotic small subunit ribosomal RNA
Source: RNAcentral